GUGGGGAAUAUUGGACAAUGGGCGAAAGCCUGAUCCAGCCAUGCCGCGUGUGUGAAGAAGGUCUUCGGAUUGUAAAGCACUUUAAGUUGGGAGGAAGGGUAGUAACCUAAUACGUUGCUACUUUGACGUUACCGACAGAAUAAGCACCGGCUAACUUCGUGCCAGCAGCCGCGGUAAUACGAAGGGUGCAAGCGUUAAUCGGAAUUACUGGGCGUAAAGCGCGCGUAGGUGGUUUUGUAAGUUGGAGGUGAAAUCCCCGGGCUCAACCUGGGAACUGCCUCCAAAACUGCAUGACUAGAGUACGGUAGAGGGUAGUGGAAUUUCCUGUGUAGCGGUGAAAUGCGUAGAUAUAGGAAGGAACACCAGUGGCGAAGGCGACCACCUGGACUGAUACUGACACUGAGGUGCGAAAGCGUGGGGAGCAAACAGGAUUAGAAACCCUUGUAGUCC
This 450-nucleotide ribosomal RNA is filed under the name uncultured bacterium. RNAcentral's name for it is "partial 16S ribosomal RNA". It matches the Rfam family "Bacterial small subunit ribosomal RNA", at positions 354 to 796 of the family's 1533-position model. The record is from RNAcentral.